RNAcentral lists this ribosomal RNA (776 nucleotides) under Siparuna decipiens. RNAcentral describes it as "eukaryotic LSU rRNA". The stretch from base 330 to 485 matches the Rfam family "5.8S ribosomal RNA". Lineage: Eukaryota; Viridiplantae; Streptophyta; Magnoliopsida; Laurales; Siparunaceae. The record is from RNAcentral.
CGAGAAGUCCACUGAACCUUAUCAUUUAGAGGAAGGAGAAGUCGUAACAAGGUUUCCGUAGGUGAACCUGCGGAAGGAUCAUUGUCGAGAACCGAUGACCACCGGUGAACUUGUCCCUUUGCUCAUCCGUUCGUCGUUGCCGACCCGGCGCCCUCUAACCGUCGACAUCGGUCGCUCGCGUUGAGUGCUGCUGGAUGCAAGCGAAUGAACCGGCAACCAACAUCUCGGCGCAGCACGCGCCAAGGACUCGUUGAAGGAACGGUGGCGUGCCCUGGGCGUUCGGUGACGGAAUGCUCGGGGUCCUGCCGUGCGUUUUCGAAUGGAAAUAUGACUCUCGGCAGCGGAUAUCUCGGCUCUCGCAUCGAUGAAGGACGUAGCGAAAUGCGAUACUUGGUGUGAAUUGCAGAAUCCAGUGAACCAUCGAGUCUUCGAACGCAAGUUGCGCCCGAGGCCUCUAGGCCGAGGGCACGCCUGCCUGGGCGUCUUCCACUGCGUCGCUCCCCCCCAUGCAAAAUGGGCAUAUGGUUGGAUGCGUACGGUUGGCCUCCCGCGGCGCUGCAUGUCGCACGGCUGGCUGAAAGGCACGUCAUGGCGUACGGCGUGGCACGACGAGUGGUGGUUCGGCUACUUGGCCGGAAUACGUCGUGUUGUGACCUCGCCGCCGCACGUCUGAGUGGGAAUCUUGGGACCACGGUUGCCCUUGAGUUCGGGCGAAUGGACUGCGACCCCAGGUCAGGCGGGGCCACCCGCUGAGUUUAAGCAUAUCAAUAAGCGGA